RNAcentral lists this ribosomal RNA (468 nucleotides) under uncultured bacterium. Its description in RNAcentral is "partial 16S ribosomal RNA". It matches the Rfam family "Bacterial small subunit ribosomal RNA", at positions 28 to 507 of the family's 1533-position model. The record is from RNAcentral.
GACGAACGCUGGCGGCGUGCUUAACACAUGCAAGUCGAACGGAAAGGCCCUGCUUUUGUGGGGUGCUCGAGUGGCGAACGGGUGAGUAACACGUGAGUAACCUGCCCUUGACUUUGGGAUAACUUCAGGCAACUGGGGCUCAUACCGGCUAGGAGCUCCUGCUGCAUGGUGGGGGUUGGAUAGUUUCGGCGGUUGGGGAUGGACUGGCGGCCUAUCAGCUUGUUGGUUGGGUAGUGGCUUACCAAGGCGUUGACGGGUAGCCGGCCUGAGAGGGUGAGCGGCCACAUUGGGACGGAGAUACGGCCCAGACUACUACGGGAGGCAACGGUGGGGAAUAGUGCACAAUGGGCGGAAGCCUGAUGCAGCAACGCCGCGUGGGGGAUGACGGCCUUCGGGUUGGAAACCGCUUUCGCCUGUGACGAAGCGUGAGUGACGGUAAUGGGUGAAGAAGCACCGGCUAACUACGUG